AGUGAACGCUGGCGGUAGGCCUAACACAUGCAAGUCGAACGGCAGCACAGUAAGAGCUUGCUCUUACGGGUGGCGAGUGGCGGACGGGUGAGGAAUACAUCGGAAUCUACUUUUUCGUGGGGGAUAGCGUAGGGAAACUUACGCUAAUACCGCAUACGACCUACGGGUGAAAGCAGGGGAUCUUCGGACCUUGCGCGAUUGAAUGAGCCGAUGUCGGAUUAGCUAGUUGGCGGGGUAAAGGCCCACCAAGGCGACGAUCCGUAGCUGGUCUGAGAGGAUGAUCAGCCACACUGGAACUGAGACACGGUCCAGACUCCUACGGGAGGCAGCAGUGGGGAAUAUUGGACAAUGGGCGCAAGCUUGAUCCAGCCAUACCGCGUGGGUGAAGAAGGCCUUCGGGUUGUAAAGCCCUUUUGUUGGGAAAGAAAAGCAGCAGGUUAAUACCCCGCUGUUCUGACGGUACCCAAAGAAUAAGCACCGGCUAACUUCGUG
Molecule: ribosomal RNA, 492 nt
Filed under: uncultured bacterium
Lineage: Bacteria
Description: partial 16S ribosomal RNA
Rfam family: Bacterial small subunit ribosomal RNA
Source: RNAcentral